CCUGUGGCAGGUAGACUUCAUUGGCAAAGCAGCCCCUGAGAAAAUGUAGGUAACAGGGGAGGGGACUUUCGGGAAUUUAUCAUCUGGUGGGCACUGCUUCUACCACAGCCUUUAUAUGAUUUAGUUGGGAGUACAGGAAGUUUGGGAUAGUAGCCCAAACUUAAUGCAUCUCCUAGCUUUUUGUUAUUCUUUGCAGGUGUCCAGAGCCUAAAGUAGAGGAGAAGGCAUAGCAGAAAUUGGGUGUGCUGUUUUUGCAGCAGCAGUAGGAAGCUUUGUCAGAG
This 281-nucleotide long non-coding RNA is filed under the name Homo sapiens (human). RNAcentral's name for it is "HSALNT0219469". Lineage: Eukaryota; Metazoa; Chordata; Mammalia; Primates; Hominidae. The record is from RNAcentral.